AUGGAACAAUGUAGGCAAGGGAAGUCGGCAAAACGGAUCCGUAACUUCGGGAAAAGGAUUGGCUCUGAGGACUGGGCUCGGGGGUCCCGGCCCCGAACCCAUCGGCUGUCGGCGGAUUGCUCGAGCUGCUCACGCGGCGAGAGCGGGUCGCCGCGUGCCGGCCGAGGGACGGACCAGGAAUCGCCCCUUCGGGGGCUUUCCCCGAGCAUGAAACAGUCGACUCAGAACUGGUACAGAAAAGGGGAAUCCGACUGUUUAAUUAAAACAAAGCAUUGCGAUGGUCCUCGCGAAUGCUGA
This 297-nucleotide ribosomal RNA is filed under the name Triticum aestivum (bread wheat). RNAcentral describes it as "partial small subunit ribosomal RNA". It matches the Rfam family "Eukaryotic large subunit ribosomal RNA", at positions 1890 to 2184 of the family's 3401-position model. Lineage: Eukaryota; Viridiplantae; Streptophyta; Magnoliopsida; Poales; Poaceae. The record is from RNAcentral.